AGUCUCUCCCACACUUCAUCUUCUUCAAAAUGAGACUGACUCACUUCUCCAAUUCCUCAGCAACUAAUCACAUAAAUACUGGCAGGAGGAGUCACCACCAGGAAGCGGAGAAAUUCCUCUAGCACAGCAUGGAGAUGGAAAUCUUGGGGGACUUCUGCGUUUUAGCUUCCUCGUCUCUAGAUCAACUCAGCUUCUCCAGCAUUCUCUGAGGUUUCAUGGGUGAGAAAUCUGAGAACAAUGUGACUCUGUUGAUUCUCUGCUUGGAGUCUCACAAGCUGAAAUCUACAUCUUCUGGAGGCUCUAGAGGAGACUGGUCCUGGCUUCAUGGAAAGUUUUUGGAAAUAUUUUUUCUUUGUAGUUGUAGGACUGAGCUGGUUCUCUCUUUGCUGUCUGUGAGUCAAACAUCAUCCUGAGCCUCUAGAAAUUGCCUCCAUUCCCUAACAGACCCUUACUAAGCCAGAAAAAGCCUGCUUGAUCUUACUCAUACUUUGAAUCUCUUCAAACAGAGCUUCUUGCUUCCAA
Non-coding RNA from Heterocephalus glaber (naked mole-rat), 522 nucleotides. Lineage: Eukaryota; Metazoa; Chordata; Mammalia; Rodentia; Bathyergidae. The record is from RefSeq and is a predicted model, not a curated record.